GUGGUAAUGCCGGAUGCUCCAGUUGAUCGCAUGGUCUUCUGGGAAAGCUUUCGCGGUAUGGGAUGGGGUCGCGUCCUAUCAGCUUGACGGCGGGGUAACGGCCCACCGUGGCUUCGACGGGUAGCCGGCCUGAGAGGGCGACCGGCCACAUUGGGACUGAGAUACGGCCCAGACUCCUACGGGAGGCAGCAGUGGGGAAUAUUGCACAAUGGGCGCAAGCCUGAUGCAGCGACGCCGCGUGAGGGAUGGAGGCCUUCGGGUUGUAAACCUCUUUUAUCGGGGAGCAAGCGAGAGUGAGUUUACCCGUUGAAUAAGCACCGGCUAACUACGUGCCAGCAGCCGCGGUAAUACGUAGGGUGCAAGCGUUAUCCGGAAUUAUUGGGCGUAAAGGGCUCGUAGGCGGUUCGUCGCGUCCGGUGUGAAAGUCCAUCGCUUAACGGUGGAUCCGCGCCGGGUACGGGCGGGCUUGAGUGCGGUAGGGGAGACUGGAAUUCCCGGUGUAACGGUGGAAUGUGUAGAUAUCGGAAAAAAAACACCA
RNAcentral lists this ribosomal RNA (538 nucleotides) under Bifidobacterium longum subsp. infantis. RNAcentral describes it as "bacterial SSU rRNA". It matches the Rfam family "Bacterial small subunit ribosomal RNA", at positions 160 to 711 of the family's 1533-position model. The record is from RNAcentral. RNAcentral also lists the same sequence under 1 other name. Lineage: Bacteria; Bacillati; Actinomycetota; Actinomycetes; Bifidobacteriales; Bifidobacteriaceae.